UUCCAGACUCCUACGGGAGGCAGCAGUGGGGAAUAUUGCACAAUGGGCGAAAGCCUGAUGCAGCAACGCCGCGUGAAGGAAGAAGGCUUUCGGGUUGUAAACUUCUUUGACAGGGGAAGAGCAGAAGACGGUACCCUGAAAACAAGCCACGGCUAACUACGUGCCAGCAGCCGCGGUAAUACGUAGGUGGCAAGCGUUGUCCGGAUUUACUGGGUGUAAAGGGCGUGUAGCCGGGAAGGCAAGUCAGAUGUGAAAUCCGGAGGCUCAACCUCCGAAUUGCAUUUGAAACUGUUUUUCUUGAGUACUGGAGAGGCAGACGGAAUUCCUUGUGUAGCGGUGAAAUGCGUAGAUAUAAGGAGGAACACCAGUGGCGAAGGCGGUCUGCUGGACAGCAACUGACGGUGAGGCGCGAAAGCGUGGGGAGCAAACAGGAUUAGAUACCCCCGUAAUA
RNAcentral lists this ribosomal RNA (451 nucleotides) under uncultured bacterium. Its description in RNAcentral is "bacterial SSU rRNA". It matches the Rfam family "Bacterial small subunit ribosomal RNA", at positions 329 to 795 of the family's 1533-position model. The record is from RNAcentral.